CUGGCGGCGUGCCUAAUACAUGCAAGUCGAACGGUCUUUCUAUGGAAGCUUGCCUCCACUGAGAAGAUAGUGGCGGACGGGUGAGUAACACGUGGGUAACCUGCCCAUAAGAGGGGGAUAACAUCCGGAAACGGGUGCUAAUACCGCAUAGUUUUCUUGAUCGCAUGAUUGAGAAAGGAAAGACGGCCUUUGUGCUGUCGCUUAUGGAUGGACCCGCGGCGUAUUAGUUAGUUGGUGAGGUAAUGGCUCACCAAGACGAUGAUACGUAGCCGACCUGAGAGGGUGAUCGGCCACAUUGGGACUGAGACACGGCCCAAACUCCUACGGGAGGCAGCAGUAGGGAAUCUUCCGCAAUGGACGAAAGUCUGACGGAGCAACGCCGCGUGAGUGAAGAAGGUUUUCGGAAUCGUAAAACUCUGUUGUCAGAGAAGAACAAGUUGGAGAGUAACUGCUCCAGCCUUGACGGUAUCUGACCAGAAAGCCACGGCUAACUACGUGCCAGCAGCAGC
Molecule: ribosomal RNA, 509 nt
Filed under: uncultured bacterium
Lineage: Bacteria
Description: bacterial SSU rRNA
Rfam family: Bacterial small subunit ribosomal RNA
Source: RNAcentral